This 1869-nucleotide ribosomal RNA is filed under the name Salmonella enterica. RNAcentral describes it as "partial 23S ribosomal RNA". It matches the Rfam family "Bacterial large subunit ribosomal RNA", at positions 648 to 2416 of the family's 2925-position model. The record is from RNAcentral. Lineage: Bacteria; Pseudomonadati; Pseudomonadota; Gammaproteobacteria; Enterobacterales; Enterobacteriaceae.
AACCGUAUAGGGGAGCCGGAGGGAAACCGAGUCUUAACCGGGCGUUAAGUUGCAGGGUAUAGACCCGAAACCCGGUGAUCUAGCCAUGGGCAGGUUGAAGGUUGGGUAACACUAACUGGAGGACCGAACCGACUAAUGUUGAAAAAUUAGCGGAUGACCUGUGGCUGGGGGUGAAAGGCCAAUCAAACCGGGAGAUAGCUGGUUCUCCCCGAAAGCUAUUUAGGUAGCGCCUCGUGAAUUCAUCUCCGGGGGUAGAGCACUGUUUCGGCUAGGGGGCCAUCCCGGCUUACCAACCCGAUGCAAACUGCGAAUACCGGAGAAUGUUAUCACGGGAGACACACGGCGGGUGCUAACGUCCGUCGUGAAGAGGGAAACAACCCAGACCGCCAGCUAAGGUCCCAAAGUCAUGGUUAAGUGGGAAACGAUGUGGGAAGGCCCAGACAGCCAGGAUGUUGGCUUAGAAGCAGCCAUCAUUUAAAGAAAGCGUAAUAGCUCACUGGUCGAGUCGGCCUGCGCGGAAGAUGUAACGGGGCUAAACCAUGCACCGAAGCUGCGGCAGCGAACGUAUCACCCAAGACAACUUUACGGAGUUGACGAUUGACGGAGCGAAGCGACGUCAAAGCGUUCAUUAAAGUCGAGUUGGCUUAGGGAUACGUUCGUUGGGUAGGGGAGCGUUCUGUAAGCCUGUGAAGGUGUGUCGUGAGGCAUGCUGGAGGUAUCAGAAGUGCGAAUGCUGACAUAAGUAACGAUAAAGCGGGUGAAAAGCCCGCUCGCCGGAAGACCAAGGGUUCCUGUCCAACGUUAAUCGGGGCAGGGUGAGUCGACCCCUAAGGCGAGGCCGAAAGGCGUAGUCGAUGGGAAACGGGUUAAUAUUCCCGUACUUGGUGUUACUGCGAAGGGGGGACGGAGAAGGCUAUGUUGGCCGGGCGACGGUUGUCCCGGUUUAAGCGUGUAGGUGUGUGUUCCAGGUAAAUCCGGUUCACUUUAACACUGAGGCGUGACGACGAGGCACUACGGUGCUGAAGCAACAAAUGCCCUGCUUCCAGGAAAAGCCUCUAAGCAUCAGGUAACAUCAAAUCGUACCCCAAACCGACACAGGUGGUCAGGUAGAGAAUACCAAGGCGCUUGAGAGAACUCGGGUGAAGGAACUAGGCAAAAUGGUGCCGUAACUUCGGGAGAAGGCACGCUGACACGUAGGUGAAGUGAUUUACUCAUGGAGCUGAAGUCAGUCGAAGAUACCAGCUGGCUGCAACUGUUUAUUAAAAACACAGCACUGUGCAAACACGAAAGUGGACGUAUACGGUGUGACGCCUGCCCGGUGCCGGAAGGUUAAUUGAUGGGGUCAGCGCAAGCGAAGCUCCUGAUCGAAGCCCCGGUAAACGGCGGCCGUAACUAUAACGGUCCUAAGGUAGCGAAAUUCCUUGUCGGGUAAGUUCCGACCUGCACGAAUGGCGUAAUGAUGGCCAGGCUGUCUCCACCCGAGACUCAGUGAAAUUGAACUCGCUGUGAAGAUGCAGUGUACCCGCGGCAAGACGGAAAGACCCCGUGAACCUUUACUAUAGCUUGACACUGAACAUUGAGCCUUGAUGUGUAGGAUAGGUGGGAGGCUUUGAAGUGUGGACGCCAGUCUGCAUGGAGCCGACCUUGAAAUACCACCCUUUAAUGUUUGAUGUUCUAACGUGGACCCGUAAUCCGGGUUGCGGACAGUGUCUGGUGGGUAGUUUGACUGGGGCGGUCUCCUCCUAAAGAGUAACGGAGGAGCACGAAGGUUGGCUAAUCCUGGUCGGACAUCAGGAGGUUAGUGCAAUGGCAUAAGCCAGCUUGACUGCGAGCGUGACGGCGCGAGCAGGUGCGAAAGCAGGUCAUAGU